This 990-nucleotide long non-coding RNA is filed under the name Capra hircus (goat). RNAcentral's name for it is "lncRNA (ENSCHIG00000005861.1)". Lineage: Eukaryota; Metazoa; Chordata; Mammalia; Artiodactyla; Bovidae. The record is from RNAcentral.
AAAAUACUGGAGAGUAUAUUAGUCACUAUUGCCAAAUUCAACAGUAUCAUUGAGGGUAGAUGAGAGUGCAUCUUUGAAAGGGAGGAAAUAAUUUUUUACAGAUUUCCCUGCCUCUGUAGUUUCCGGCUUUUGAACUAAAAAUGAAAUAUAAUUAAAUUCCUAUCACAAUUUAUUUUCUCCUAAGUGAUCUAGAGGAAUAUGCAGAGUUAUAUUUUGAUAGUUGUCACUGAAGAAAGGAAAUGAACAUAUAAUGAGCAAUCUCUUCAUGCCAGGACUUUAUUUGGGUCAAUUCUUGAUGAGAUCUACACAUUUCUCUUUAACUUCUCAAUAUACAUUUGAGAAGCCAAGUCUAAAACUACUUGCUUUGAAAGGUAAACUAUUUCAACAUUACUUCUAAGAGAGAAUUGAGUUUAUUUAUAUUUUACAAAUCUGUGUUAAUCUACCUUUACUAUCUAAUUUGCAUCUUUAAUAUUUAUUAUGUGUCCCAAGGAAACCAGAAUUGAAAGAGACACGUGUAUCCUUCAUUGCAGCACUGUUUACAAUAGCCAGGACAUGGAAGCAAUCUAGAUGUCCAUCAGCAGACAAAUGGAUAAGAAAGCUGUGGUACAUAUACACAAUGGAGUAUUACUCAGCUAUUAAAAAUGAUGCAUUUGAAUCAGUUCUAAUGAGGUGGAUGAAACUAGAGCCUAUUUUACAGAGUGAAGUAAGUCAGAAAGAAAAACACCAAUACAGUAUAUUAACGCAUAUGUAUGGAAUUUAGAAAGAUGGUAAUGAUGACCCUAUAUGCAAGACAGCAAAAGAGACACAGAUGUAAAAAACAGUCUUUUGGACUCUGUGGGAGAAGGUGAGGAUGGGAUGAUUUGAGAGAAUAGCAUUGAAACAUGUAUAUUAUCAUAUGCGAAAUAGAUCGUCAGUCCAGAUUCAAUGCAUGAGACAGGGUGCUCAGGGCUGGUGCACUGGGAUGAUCCAGAGGGAUGUGAUGGAGAGAGA